This 1216-nucleotide ribosomal RNA is filed under the name Pinus taeda (loblolly pine). RNAcentral describes it as "SSU rRNA". It matches the Rfam family "Eukaryotic small subunit ribosomal RNA". Lineage: Eukaryota; Viridiplantae; Streptophyta; Pinopsida; Pinales; Pinaceae. The record is from RNAcentral.
CCUGGUUGAUCCUGCCAGAAUAGUCAUAUGCUUGUCUUAAAGAUUAAGCCAUGCAUGUCUAAGUUAUGAACUAAUUCAGACUGUGAAACUGCGGAUGGCUCAUUAAAUCAGGUAUAGUUUUUCUUGAGGGUACCAUACUACUCGAUAACCGUAUAAUUCUAUUAGCUAAUACAUGCACCAAGUCCUGACCUUUGGAAGGGAUGCAUUUUAGAUAAAGGCUGGCACGGGCUUGCCCGCUUCUCCAGUGAAUCAUGAUAACUAGACGGAUCAUACAACCCUUGUGCUGGUGAUGCUUCAUUCAAAUUUCUACCCUAUCAACUUUCGAUGGUAAGAUAGAGGCCUACCAUGGUGGUGACGAGUGAUGGAGAAUUAGGGUUUGAUUCCGAAGAGGGAGCCUGAGAAACGGCUACCAUAUCCAAGGAAGGAAACAGGCGCGCAAAUUACCCAAUCCUGACAUGGGGAGGUAGUGACAAUAAAUGACAAUACUAGGCUCAUUGAGUCUGGUAUUGGAAUGAGUAAAAUCUAAAUCCCUUAACAAGGAUCCAUUGGAGGGCAAGUCUGGUGCCAGAAGCCGCGGUAAUUCCAUCUCCAAUAGCGUAUAUUUAAGUUGUUGUAGUUAAAAAGCUCGUAGUUGGAUCUUGGGUCAUAAAGGUUAGUCUGCCUACUCGGUGUGCACUUGCCUUUCUGUCCCUUUUGUCGGUGGCGUGUUCCUGGCCCCUUAAUUCCGAUAAAAAACAAGACCUCAGCCUGCUAAUUAGCUACGAGAAGGUUCCCCUUCGUGGCCAACUUCUUAGAGGGACUAUGGCCAUUUAGGCGAUGGAAUUUUGAGGCAAUAACAUCUCUGUGAUGCCUUUAGAGUUUGUGUGCUGCACGCGCGCUACACUGAUGCAGCCAACGAGCUUUUCUUCCUAGUUCGAGAGGAUAGGGAAAUCUUCUCAAAUUGCAUCGUGAUGGGGAUAGACCAUUGCAAUUAUUGGUCUUCAAUGAGGAAUUUCUAGUAAGCACGUGUCAUCAAAUCGUGUUGACUACAUCCUUGCCCUUUGUACACACCGCUCGUCGCUCCUACCAAUUGAAUGAUCCGGUGAAGUGUUUGGAUUGCGUUGACGAUGGUGGUCCACUGCCGUCGACGUCGUGAGAAGUUCAUUGAACCUUAUCAUUUAGAGGAAGGAGAAGUCUUAACAAGGUUACCAUAGGUGAACCUGCAGUAGGAUCAUUG